Molecule: long non-coding RNA, 700 nt
Organism: Saccostrea echinata
Lineage: Eukaryota; Metazoa; Mollusca; Bivalvia; Ostreida; Ostreidae
Exons: 3
Source: RefSeq, a predicted model, not a curated record
GUCAUUAAGAGAAAAGACUUGUUAUGUAUUUGACAAGUGAAAUAAAGGUGAUAAAAAUCUCAUAUCAAGACUUAGGCUUCUUUGAGAUAUAUAGGAGUUACAGGUAAAAGUUUGAAGGGAGGGGUGCACUUUGGUUAGAGAUUUUCAUUUGGUGCUGAACGCACCUAGUUGUAAAAAAAUGGAAUUUGAAAGUAAAAGUGCAACGGCACGGUAUAUUUUUUCUGGCAUGUUUUGUUUUGCAAGAUCUCGAACUUUCACGGCAAGAAAGUCAUAUACCCAAAAUUGAAUAUAUGAAUCAGUGACAGGGGCUCAACUUUGUAUGGAAGUCUAUGGGAAAACAUUUGGUGGUGUUUGUCCUAUAGAGUAGGUAUAGGUCUGAUUGACUGGGGUGUGAAAUGUAACAGCCAGUGGUGUACCUCAGCUAGGACUGUCAGUCCCAAUAUUCAUGAGGGAAAACACCUACAUAACCUUAUACAUGGGUGCAGACAUUUUGGACACCCAAAGUUGUGCGGAGAAGAAAAUGCUACACGGCACAUGAUUGGUCAUGAAGAGAAAAGACUUGUUAUGUAUUUGACAAGUGAAAUAAAGGUGAUAAAAAUCUCAUAUCAAGACUUAGGCUUCUUUGAGAUAUAUAGGAGUUACAGGUAAAAGUUUGAAGGGAGGGGUGCACUUUGGUUAGAGAUUUUCAUUUGGUGCUGAA